Molecule: non-coding RNA, 177 nt
Filed under: Streptococcus henryi
Lineage: Bacteria; Bacillati; Bacillota; Bacilli; Lactobacillales; Streptococcaceae
Source: RNAcentral
UCUGGUACCAGAAACCGAGACUGGCAGAGGAAGGGAUAGCGAAAUCGUGGCUCUACGAACAGAAAUUUGAUAUGAAGGCGUAUAUAGCGGAUAAAGGGGAAGAAAACUCUAAAGUCCAAAUAGGUAGAUGUAAUCUAGAUGCGUAAAUCACGAGAGAAUUGAAUAUGGGCUAAGGUC